RNAcentral lists this long non-coding RNA (280 nucleotides) under Vigna radiata. Its description in RNAcentral is "long non-coding RNA (VRAD_LNC013014)". Lineage: Eukaryota; Viridiplantae; Streptophyta; Magnoliopsida; Fabales; Fabaceae. The record is from RNAcentral.
UCCCGGAUGUGAUACCCUCAGAGUUUAAAUUGCCCAAAUUUGAGAAAUUAUAAGGUCCAUUUGUCUCAAGAUUCAUCUCAUGGCGUAUGGCAAGAAAAUGGUCAUGUAUGCAUAUGAUGGAAAGUUGUUAAUUCCUUUCUUCCAUGAUAGUUUGAUUGGCAUGGAAAGAUCAUAAAAGGUCCUACCAUGGCGGCAAAUGUGAACAAGUCGGGUCUAAGCAUGGGAGGAGGAGAGAAGAAAGAGCUUAACCAUUUCCCACCACUCAAAUACCAUUUCCUUA